RNAcentral lists this ribosomal RNA (922 nucleotides) under Capnodiales sp. 010302. Its description in RNAcentral is "partial 18S ribosomal RNA". It matches the Rfam family "Eukaryotic small subunit ribosomal RNA", at positions 147 to 1073 of the family's 1831-position model. The record is from RNAcentral. Lineage: Eukaryota; Fungi; Ascomycota; Dothideomycetes; Capnodiales.
CCGUGGUAAUUCUAGAGCUAAUACAUGCUAAAAACCUCAACUUCGGAAGGGGUGUAUUUAUUAGAUAAAAAACCAAUGCCCUUCGGGGCUCCUUGGUGAAUCAUAAUAACUUAACGAAUCGCAUGGCCUUGCGCCGGCGAUGGUUCAUUCAAAUUUCUGCCCUAUCAACUUUCGAUGGUAGGAUAGUGGCCUACCAUGGUAUCAACGGGUAACGGGGAAUUAGGGUUCUAUUCCGGAGAGGGAGCCUGAGAAACGGCUACCACAUCCAAGGAAGGCAGCAGGCGCGCAAAUUACCCAAUCCCGACACGGGGAGGUAGUGACAAUAAAUACUGAUACAGGGCUCUUUUGGGUCUUGUAAUUGGAAUGAGUACAAUUUAAAUACCUUAACGAGGAACAAUUGGAGGGCAAGUCUGNNNNNNNNNNNNNNNNNNNNNNNNNNNNNNNNAAUAGCGUAUAUUAAAAGUUGUUGCAGUUAAAAAGCUCGUAGUUGAACCUUGGGCCUGGCUGGCCGGCCCGCCUCACCGCGUGCACUGGUCCGGCCGGGCCUUUCCUUCCGGGGAGCCGCAUGCCCUUCACUGGGCGUGUCGGGGAACCGGGACUUUUACUUUGAAAAAAUUAGAGUGUUCAAAGCAGGCCUUUGCUCGAAUACAUUAGCAUGGAAUAAUAGAAUAGGACGUGCGGUUCUAUUUUGUUGGUUUCUAGGACCGCCGUAAUGAUUAAUAGGGAUAGUCGGGGGCAUCCGUAUUCAAUUGUCAGAGGUGAAAUUCUUGGAUUUAUUGAAGACGAACUACUGCAAAAGCAUUUGCCAAGGAUGUUUUCAUUAAUCAGCGAACGAAACUUAGGGGAUCGAAGACGAUCAGAUACCGUCGUAGUCUUAACCAUAAACUAUGCCGACUAGGGAUCGGUGGGUGUUAUUAUUUGA